Molecule: RNA transcript, 4433 nt
Organism: Quercus lobata
Lineage: Eukaryota; Viridiplantae; Streptophyta; Magnoliopsida; Fagales; Fagaceae
Gene name: F-box/kelch-repeat protein At3g23880-like
Exons: 7
Source: RefSeq, a predicted model, not a curated record
AGGUUAUAGUGAGGAAAGGACUGAUUGGGGAAGCUGAUUAAGAGAACAGAACAUUUGAUUCUAAAAGAAAGAUUGCUGCGCUGGAGGUAUUUGCUUUAGUAGUGUAGAGUUGGCCUAAAAUUGGCCCUAAGGUCUCAAAUAGCCUCUGUAACUUGUGGCUUUUAGACAUGUUGCCAGAGAUCAUUAUCACCGUGCUUGCUUGCAUCACAUUUGACACUGAUGAACUCCCCCCCUUAACAACCCCAGAGAUCAUUUUACUAAGUUCUUUUGGUUCUCUCUUUAGUGUUGUUAUUUGGUUCUAACUAUAUUAAUUGGUUUAUGUUCUGUUUGGUUAAGAGUGUUUUAUCACCAACCCCAAUUUCAUCUCCACCCACUUGCUGUGCUACAACAAUCAUGAUGGUGCUUAUGUCAUACACAUGCCCAGGACUGUUGUUCACAUGGCUUCUUUUCAUCGUCCUCACAGUCAAAUCUGUACGCUCGCUUUCGACCGCACCUUUGAAACCAUAUCCGAGUUUAGAAUUCCCUUCACUUUUAAAUCUGGGUAUCAUGGUUUAGUGGGUUCUUGUAAUGGCAUAUUAUGUUUCACUGAUUUUAUCAUAUCAAAGUCUAAAAAUGUGUACUUGUGGAACCCCAGUAUUAGAAAAUUUAAGAGGUUGCCCAAUACUUGCUUGAACCAGACCCAGGUGCUUAAUGUGGCACAUGGAUUUGGGUAUGAUUCCCUGAAUAAUGACUACAAGGUUGUCAGGUUUUCAUGGACUCGUACCAAAUGGAUGCCUCCCCCUGAGGUUGAGGUGUACUCAUUAAGUUCGGACUCAUGGAAAAGAGUUGAACUUGGAAUCUCCUGGAGACCCAAUGUUAUUUCCUACAGUUUUAAUGGUAUUUUGGCAUUCCCAUUUGUUAGUGGACAUUUGCAUUUGAUUUUGUCAUUUGAUGUCAAUAGUGAGAAAUUCAAAGAUCUACCAGUGCCUGAUGAAGGAGGUCUUGUUGCGAAAUGUCUUACGUCAUACAAGGAAAAACUUGCUUUGAUUAAAUUUGGACAUGGUGCACAACCACUUAGCAAGCUAUGCUCCAUAUGGGUGAUGAGGGAGUAUGGUUUGCUUGAUUCCUGGAAUAAACUUUGUGUUCUACCAAUUGAAAUUUCUACUGAUUUCAUUGGUUUCACCAAGUAUGGUUUACUUCUAGUUCGACAUAGGUCUCGCCUGGUCUCUACCAACAGUGAAUUAGAGAGGAAACAUAAGUCUGUUUUAAUUGAUCCUGAAGCUCUACAUGAGAAGGAGAUUAGUAAUCAAAUUGAUUAUCACUUAGAUGUAGCUACUUACAUGGAGAACCUUGCCCUACUUGAUGGAGCAAACGUGGUAUCUUACUGAGAGGAUGUUGCUGGGUAUAACAAGCGAUUUCUUCACAGUCAAAAAAGAAAUGAAAAAAGCAAUAGAGGAGGCAUAAAAAGGAAAAAAAUGGUAAAUGUUGUGUUCUUGGAGGGGGAGGUUUGGUGGGAGAAGUAGCAGGUGACUUGGAAUGCGAUCCCCUGUUGUCUCAUGUGUUAUUUAUCGAGAGAAAGGAAUGGUUGUUGUUUUGACAGUUUGUACCUAUGCCCUGUUUACACUUCCAGUCAUCUCGUGUACUCAGAUGAGAUGAGAAAGAGGAGCACUCUGUUGAAGUUGAAUUUAAGAUGUAGGAGAGCUGCAAGAUUGAAAAGAAAUUUUUUUGCCGGAGGGAGAAGAAGAGCUGGAAUGCUUUGAAGAGGAAGUGGACUCAAAGAUGGAAGGUGGUGAGAGCUUUGAUAAGAUGUAGCAGCAGCACCAUAAGAAGUAGAAGAAGCCCUUUGCUCGGAAAGUUUGGAAGCCUACUCAAGAAGGAUGGCACUAGCAACCAUAAGUAUAGAGAUUGACCAGUUUGGCCUAACUUGUGCCGUAAUAGCAGGCAGUUAUAAUUGGUAUCAAUUUGCACCUAAAUGUGUUUGCUUCAUUGUUUAUGUUUCCAGAAAGCAGAAUAGGAUAAAGAAAUGAAUUUCUGUGUUGCCAAGUUCUGAUGUGUCAUGCAUACGUUUAAUUGUAGGGAAAUUGCCUUCAUCUCCAAUUGAUUAACAUUAUCAUAUGGUAGGGAAUGCCCACUUACCUUGCAAUUGCAACAUCUUAAGAUCAGGACUGACUUGAGUUUAGAUGGUUGCCUAGUUGCAUGUCAGACUCAAAAUGCAAGGAAAGCUUUUUAUUUUUUUAUGAAAUUUAAAGAGAAUAUCUCUGUCAGUUGUUGGGCAUGAAACAAGCAUGAGGUUUUCCUUUGUUCCCAACAUAUAUGAGAUAUUCCACAACCUUGUAUUUUGUAAGCCUUUCCAUGUAUUUGAAAUGCUGAUUGCCUAAGUAUUGGUGUAUCAAAUGGCUUAUUUCAUAAGUUGUGAAUCCGAGAGUUCUGCUACAUCAGCACUUAACCUGGCAGAAGUUACAACUUAAUAUCUUUGACUUUAAGCAUUUAAUUUUAACAUCUUGAAGAAUUGUGUCCAGCUCCCAACUAGGAAACUGGAAAGAGCCUAAUACUAGAACCAAUGCUUCAAUCAGUUCCUUACCCAGUUACCCCCAAAGCUAUGCAGGACGAACCUUGAUCUCCCAGACGAAAUCGUGUUGGAAAUUCUAACAAGGCUACCAGUGAAAUCACUCCUAAGAUUCAGGUGCGUUUGCAAAUCCUGGUACCCUUACAUCACCAACCCCAAUUUCAUCUCCACCCACCUUAAUAGCUUGUUGUCCCACAAUCAUGGUUAUGUAAUAUACAUGCGCAAGACUUAUCCCAGGUAUUAUUCUUCUUCUCAUAGUCAAGUCUGUACGGUCUCUUGCGACCGCACAUUUGAAAGGGUAUCCGAGUUUAGAAUUCCUUUCACUUUUCAAUCUGGGCGUCCCAAAUUAGUGGGUUCAUGUAAUGGAAUAAUGUGUCUCACUGAUUUUAUUGUAUCAGAAUUUAAUGCUGUAUACUUGUGGAAUCCCAGUAAUAGAAAAUUUAAGAAAAUUUAAGAAGUUGCCCGAUACUUGCUUGAGCAGGUUACAUCAUGCUAAACUUGGGUUUGGGUGUGAUUCCCUGAAUAAUGACUACAAGGUUGUCAGGAUUUCACGGUCCCUUGUCAAAAUUAUGCCUCCCAUUGAGGUUGAGGUUGAGGUUGAGGUGUACACAUUAAGUUCGGAUUCAUGGAAAAGAAUUGGACUUGGAAUUCCAUGGAGACCCAAUGUUGUGUUCUGGAAAAUAAAUUGAAUUUUGUUAUCCCCAUUUGUUAGUGGACAUUUGCAUUGGAUGUUUCUAUAUGUAGAAGAUAGAGGUGGACGCGAGAGGCGUUUUACUCAUAUGAUUUUGUCAUUUGAUGUCAAUAGUGAGAAAUUCAAAGAGCUACCACUGCCUGACGAUGAAGGAAGUUGUAUUACAAUAUAUCUCACAUCAUUCAAGGGGAAACUGGCUUUGAUUAAAUUUAGAUAUGGUGUACAAUCAUGUGACACACUAUGCUCCAUCUGGGUGAUGAGGGAGUAUGGUGUGUUUGAUUCCUGGAAUAAACUGUGUGUUGUACCAGUUGAAGGCACUUAUAAUAUCAUUGUUUUUACCAAGUAUGAUUUACUUCUAAUUCAAAGGAGGCCCCGGCUGGUCUCCACCAACAGUGAAUUAGAGAGGGAAGUUAAGUCUGUUUUAAUUGACCCCGAAACUCUACAUGAGAAUGAAAUUAGUAUUCCAGUUGAUAACCGUUUAGAUUUAGCUACUCACAUGGAGAGCCUUGCUUUACUUGAUGGAGAAAAUGUGGUCUCUUACUAAGAUGAUGGUGCUAUGUUGUAUAAGAAGUGAUGCCAUUACAGGAGGAUGGAGCAAAGAAAUGGAAGAGGGCUGGGUAGAAGUUUAAUUUAAGAUGUGGGAGAGCUGCAAGAUUCCAAAGAAAGAAUGUUUUCUGGAGAGAGAAGCAGAACAGGAAUGCAACAAAGAGGAAGUGGACUCAAAGAUGGAAGGAGGUGAGAACUUUGAUCAGAUAAACGAGAUAUCUUCUACAGAAAACAUUGAUGAUGGUGGAAGCCCACCAUCAAAGUAGCAGCAACAUAAGAAGAAGAAGCCUAUGCACUGCUCAGAAAUUUUGGACGCCUACUCAAGAGUAAGGGUACUAGCAGCCAUAGGUAGAGAAAUAGACCAGUUUGGCUUAACUUCUGCCCUACUAGCAGGCAGGUAUAUUUGGUAUUAUUGCACCUAAAUGUUUUUACUUCAUUGUUUAUGUUCCCAGAAAGCAGAUAGGUUAAAGAAAUGAAGAGCCUUGUAUUAUGUUUUUAGUUUUUUCUUCUAUUUCUUUUGCUUUUAAUGUGAUUCCUCACGUGGGACAGGAUCUUGUAUGUGAUUGGAGAUUUUUUUUUUACCUUCAUUUUCAUUGUGUUAAUUGUGCAUGUCUAGAUUUUGUGAAAAGAAGUGGUAAUUUUGAAUUUUCA